UACGGAGGGAGCUAGCGUUGUUCGGAAUUACUGGGCGUAAAGCGCGCGUAGGCGGCUUUGUAAGUUAGAGGUGAAAGCCCGGGGCUCAACCCCGGAAUUGCCUUUAAGACUGCAUCGCUUGAAUCCGGGAGAGGUGAGUGGAAUUCCGAGUGUAGAGGUGAAAUUCGUAGAUAUUCGGAAGAACACCGGUGGCGAAGGCGGCUCACUGGACCGGCAUUGACGCUGAGGUGCGAAAGCGUGGGGAGCAAACAGG
Molecule: ribosomal RNA, 253 nt
Filed under: uncultured bacterium
Lineage: Bacteria
Description: partial 16S ribosomal RNA
Rfam family: Bacterial small subunit ribosomal RNA
Source: RNAcentral